AACGAACGCUGGCGGCAUGCCUAACACAUGCAAGUCGAACGAGACCUUCGGGUCUAGUGGCUCACGGGUGCGUAACGCGUGGGAACCUGCCCUUAGGUUCGGAAUAACUCCCCGAAAGGGGUGCUAAUACCGGAUAAUGUCUUCGGACCAAAGAUUUAUCGCCUUUGGAUGGGCCCGCGUUGGAUUAGCUAGUUGGUAGGGUAAAAGCCUACCAAGGCGACGAUCCAUAGCUGGUCUGAGAGGAUGAUCAGCCACACUGGGACUGAGACACGGCCCAGACUCCUACGGGAGGCAGCAGUGGGGAAUAUUGGACAAUGGGCGAAAGCCUGAUCCAGCAAUGCCGCGUGAAUGAUGAAGGCCUUAGGGUUGUAAAGCUCUUUUACCCGGGAUGAUAAUGACAGUACCGGGAGAAUAAGCUCCGGCUAACUCCGUG
RNAcentral lists this ribosomal RNA (433 nucleotides) under uncultured bacterium. RNAcentral's name for it is "partial 16S ribosomal RNA". It matches the Rfam family "Bacterial small subunit ribosomal RNA", at positions 29 to 507 of the family's 1533-position model. The record is from RNAcentral.